CUGCAGCUUAUUAAGCCGACCAGUCUCGCUGCAGUGCGGUUCUGGUGUGCAAUGGCUGCGGACAGUGACUCUGUGGUUGUGUAUGUGGCCAGCUCGGGAGGUGCUGGCUGCUUUAAGGGACCGCCGAGACAAAA
Small nucleolar RNA from Oncorhynchus kisutch (coho salmon), 134 nucleotides. Its record names the gene SNORA70. It matches the Rfam family "Small nucleolar RNA SNORA70". Rfam says of the family: snoRNA U70 seems to be exclusive to mammals and is a member of the H/ACA class of snoRNA which contain H (ANANNA) and ACA box motifs. H/ACA box snoRNAs are involved in the conversion of uridines to pseudouridines (5-ribosyluracil) a constituent of structural RNAs (transfer, ribosomal, small nuclear, and small nucleolar). NCBI's taxonomy places the organism in Eukaryota, Metazoa, Chordata, Actinopteri, Salmoniformes, Salmonidae. The record is from Ensembl.